This 253-nucleotide ribosomal RNA is filed under the name uncultured Eubacteriales bacterium. RNAcentral's name for it is "uncultured Clostridiales bacterium partial 16S ribosomal RNA". It matches the Rfam family "Bacterial small subunit ribosomal RNA", at positions 524 to 776 of the family's 1533-position model. The record is from RNAcentral. Lineage: Bacteria; Bacillati; Bacillota; Clostridia; Eubacteriales.
UACGUAGGGGGCAAGCGUUAUCCGGAUUUACUGGGUGUAAAGGGAGCGUAGACGGCGAUGCAAGUCUGAAGUGAAAGGCGGGGGCCCAACCCCCGGACUGCUUUGGAAACUGUAUGGCUGGAGUGCAGGAGAGGUAAGUGGAAUGCCUAGUGUAGCGGUGAAAUGCGUAGAUAUUGGGAGGAACAUCAGUGGCGAAGGCGGCCAACUGGGCUUUUACUGACGCUGAAGCACGAAAGCGUGGGUAUCGAACAGG